This 301-nucleotide ribosomal RNA is filed under the name uncultured bacterium. RNAcentral describes it as "partial 16S ribosomal RNA". It matches the Rfam family "Bacterial small subunit ribosomal RNA", at positions 509 to 807 of the family's 1533-position model. The record is from RNAcentral.
CAGCCGCCACGGUAAUACGAAGGGGGCUAGCGUUGUUCGGAAUUACUGGGCGUAAAGGGCGCGUAGGCGGCCAUUCAAGUUAGAUGUGAAAGCCCUGGGCUCAACCUAGGAAUUGCAUUUGAUACUGUUUGGCUUGAGUUCGGAAGAGGUGAGUGGAAUUCCCAGCGUAGAGGUGAAAUCCGCAGAUAUUGGGAAGAACACCAGUGGCGAAGGCGGCUCACUGGACCGACACUGACGCUGAGGCGCGAAAGCGUGGGGAGCAAACAGGAUUAGAUACCCCAGUAGUCCCUGUCUCUUAUAC